Molecule: non-coding RNA, 71 nt
Organism: Pangasianodon gigas (Mekong giant catfish)
Lineage: Eukaryota; Metazoa; Chordata; Actinopteri; Siluriformes; Pangasiidae
Source: the annotation of a GenBank genome assembly
UCCCUGGAGGACUAGUGGUUAGGUCUCGCGCUCUCUCCGCUGUGGCCCGGGUUCGAUUCCCAGCCAGGGAA